AUGAAAAAAAAAAAAAAAAAAUUUUUUUUUUUCUCUCCCCACAGGCAUAUUCUAGAAAAGAAGAGGAAGAGGAGUGAGAUUUCCCUGUUCCCCAAGCUGAAAAGUCCCAGAGUCAAAAUGGCUGCACUAAGACGAUCUCAUCAGAAUGUCAUGUGUCCAGUUCUUCAACAGGUGAGGCAUGAUUCUGUUGUGAAAGUGUAAUGUUGAAAUGGGUAGACUUAGAAACACACAUCCUAGUGCAGGCCUGUGUGUGAGUGUGCCUGCUGGCAAAAAAGGCUGGGGAGAAGAGCAUAGCCCCAGACUGAGCUGUGAUCAAAAGCUAGAAGACCUAGAAAGCCUAAAACCAGGCUUCCCUUGGACCAGAGAAGAGAAAUAAGUGAGCGGUCAGAGAGGACUGAAACGCUCAGCUAAGUCCCUCGCUUGGCUAGGAUUUGCUCAGUAAAUCAGGGGCAGAAAGCAGUUAGUGCCAACACAGCUCCUUCCUCUCCUGAGACCCACGGUGACACAGCCCAUCCAUCAUAGAGUUCACUCCCACGGAGCCCAGGAACACUGCAGAUUCCCUCUCAACAUAACUGCUCCAGGUAGAUUUUCCCUUGAACACUGUCACUGGGACAGGUUACAUAAUUUGCAGGGCCCAGUGCAUGAAAAUGUAGGGGCCAAUAUUCAAAAAUUGCUGAGUUUCAAGAUGACUGGAGGAGAGUAUUAAGCCAGUGUGAGGCCCUUCUGAGCAUGGGGCUGUGAUCUUAAACCCACAAAGUCAGCCUUGUCUGCCACAGGUCAGAUGGUCUGCAUGCAGGCAGCUUACUGUGGAGAACUACUGGAAACCCAUCUGUAAGGGAUGAGGCAGCAGGACAGGGCAAGGGGAGAAGUAGCAGGCUUUUCACAUCAGGUGGCCAAAGUAUUGGAGCUUCAG
Molecule: long non-coding RNA, 913 nt
Filed under: Bos indicus x Bos taurus (hybrid cattle)
Lineage: Eukaryota; Metazoa; Chordata; Mammalia; Artiodactyla; Bovidae
Description: lncRNA (ENSBIXG00000015396.1)
Source: RNAcentral